UACGGAGGAUGCAAGCGUUAUCCGGAUUUAUUAGGUUUAAAGGGUGUGUAGGCGGACUGCUAAGUCAGUGGUGAAAUCCCGCAGCUUAACUGCGGAACUGCCAUUGAUACUGGUUGUCUUGAGUACAGUUGAAGUAGGCGGAAUGUGUAAUGUAGCGGUGAAAUGCUUAGAUAUUACACAGAACACCGAUUGCGAAGGCAGCUUACUAAGCUGUUACUGACGCUGAUGCACGAAAGCGUGGGGAGCGAACAGG
Molecule: ribosomal RNA, 253 nt
Filed under: uncultured bacterium
Lineage: Bacteria
Description: partial 16S ribosomal RNA
Rfam family: Bacterial small subunit ribosomal RNA
Source: RNAcentral